GCUUGUCUCAAAGAUUAAGCCAUGCAUGUCUAAGUGUAAAUAAGUCUAUACUGUGAAACUGCGAAUGGCUCAUUAAAUCAGUUAUCGUUUAUUUGAUGAUCUCUUACUACUUGGAUAACCGUAGUAAUUCUAGAGCUAAUACAUGCAUCAAGCCCCGACUGUUUGGAAGGGGUGUAUAUAUUAGAUUGAAACCAAUGCGGGGCAACCCGGAGUGUGGUGAUUCAUAAUAUCUUUCGGAUCGAUUUAUCGAUGCAUCAUUCAAGUUUCUGCCCUAUCAGCUUUGGAUGGUAGGGUAUUGGCCUACCAUGGCUUUAACGGGUAACGGAGAAUUA
Molecule: ribosomal RNA, 332 nt
Filed under: uncultured fungus
Lineage: Eukaryota; Fungi
Description: partial small subunit ribosomal RNA
Rfam family: Eukaryotic small subunit ribosomal RNA
Source: RNAcentral